CUCAGAGCACCACCUCAACAAGGGGAUUCUAUAAUCUCAUUCAUUCCAUUAUCACAUUCUGUCUUUCCUCUGAUCCCCUGCCCUUAGCAGGAAAAAAGAAAUGAACAAAAGGCAUCCCUCCAAAGUAUCAGGGUGCCAAUCUAGGGGGACACAACAGGAAACGUGACUGUGAAUCAGCUGCCUGAUAAAACAGCCAGGAUGGAGCCCACGUCAUUGUGGGAUUCAACAAAGUCAUUGAAAACACCAGCCGCUUAUUGCAGUAUGGAUAUCCCUUUAAGACAUGAAAGGAAAGUUCAAAGAGAAUGAGUUAGAUGGCUCAGAAAGCCACAUUAUUAAAAUAUAUUUGUUUUAUUAGC
This is a long non-coding RNA of Canis lupus familiaris (dog), 356 nucleotides long. RefSeq lists it as uncharacterized. The transcript is spliced from 2 exons. Lineage: Eukaryota; Metazoa; Chordata; Mammalia; Carnivora; Canidae. The record is from RefSeq and is a predicted model, not a curated record.